GGAUAAGGAGCAUCCCUGGUUGCAAGCGUAGGGUUCUAACUAAGUUUGUAGGGUUCAGCGUGGGAGCUUGGCAGUGACACAGAGAGGUUGAGGGAGGGCUUCAGAGGUCGAGGGCUGGAGACAAACAGUGAAAAUAAAAGGGGUACAGGUUGGGAUAUAAGGUAGAGUACAGGACUAUUCAAACCCUGAACAGCAGCCCUAACAGUGCCCCCAUUUCCCUGAGACAGCUGCAGGCAGGAACCCUAAAGCAGCAGAGUGCCAGAACCCCUGAGAGCUGCAGGCAGUACCCCUGGUGCUAGGGCCAGCCAGGAAGAGAUAGUGGGUGCUAGGGCCUACUGCUGUCAUAUAAGCUGGGGUUUCCAUCCUUGGGGUACCCUGGGCUCCCUGACCCUCACUGACUGGAGAGUCUUCCUCCCCUCCUUGAGGUGGUGGUAAUUUGGCUGUGUCAGCCAAUACUGCUGUGAAGCAAGCCUCUGCCUCCCUGUGGGGUGAAGUCUGCUGCCCAUAAACCUGGGCAUUCUCUAGAGAAGGUAAGUGCUGGGUUUUCACAGAUGUGCCGCUAAGAUCCUGCAUUGAUAUUUGGUCUUCUAGAUUGUAGCUGACCAGGAGACGACAUCCUGGUGAUGGCAGGAACUUCCCGGAUAGCGCAACAGCCUUCCAGGGCGUCCUCGUGUGGAUCCUCCCCGCCGGGCAUCCGAGAGCUGAGUCGAAGGCUGCGAAUGGCACAGGGGCUGAAAGCGGGGUGCCGGCUUGGGACACGUGACCUGGGAUUUUUGAGUCAGCUUUGGGGAUGGGGAGGUCCAGGCUGUGGCCCCUUAGGCCCUAUGUAGGGAGAGCCUCACUUUUGUUCACAGUGCUGAGGUGUGCAGGACGGAGCAGUCCCGGGGCGUGUCGUGUCACUUGUCCAUUGUGCCUUCUGUGUCUUUUGUGCCCCUCGUGUCGUACGUGCUUUACCUUAUCCUUUCUGGGGGCUUACCAGAAGCCCUGGCGCCUCUCUUAGCAUCUCCGAUCUCUGGGCUCCUUGGCUCAGCAGCUCUCAGAGGCCUUGGAAUCGCGUCUCUCUUUUAAAAGCAUCCGAUCGGAUGUCUUUUAGAGGUCUUGUUCCGUGCUGUGUCGACAGCCGUGCGCCGCGAGGAUCCAUUGUUGCGGCUUAGGUCUUGAAGAAACGCAAAGAUAGGUAGAGGAUUGUGGCCAUAAGAUUCUCGGGCAUCCAUCUUGGCAGUCUUGGAGUUAAUCAUUCCAUCAGCAUCUUCUUCCUCCCGGGUUCUGCGAGCUUCAUCAGCUCAUUCUCACCCGGCUCAUCUCGUUCCGCGUUCUCUCGGUCCUUGUGGCCAUUCUUGUGGCCCAGAAUUUUGUCUCCCCGUUGUGUCCCCUCGUCUGUUGUCUUGUGUGUCACGGGUAUCUGGGUGUAGUUGUUCCGGAGCUGCUCUGUCCUGCUGCCCAGCCUGGGUGUAGGUGUAAAAGGCCAAGUCCCAGGCCCCUGUAAUUUGAAAUUUGUGAUGUAGGGUGUAGUUGGAGUCUAGAGGGUGUUCCUAGAUGGACACAAGAUGUCUGGAGCUGUGAAGUUACCCUGCAGCACUUUGACUUUUGUCUCAGCUUUCUUUCAGAUGCGGACGGAUGAAAUCGGUGGCAGAGCGCCCCAUCCAGGGUAAGGGGGUUCCCGCGAGAAGGAAGCAAAGCCAGCUAGCAGCAGUCAAGGCGAAGCGGGCAAGGCGGUCCAGUCACGUUUCGUCGAGACACCCUCGCCAACCGGCCGGCACAGCUGCUUCGCCUCUGCCGUGAGCCCUGCGGAAGCGUUACGGGACCGUGAGACGGAGCCUUUUCCACGUAAAGGGGCCGUGUGGGUGGCCUUCAGGAACGGGCCGAGGGGUUGCCGCGCACCCUGCGACGACGGCGUCUGGCUCCCGGUGUGGCCUCGGGACGUGGCCGUUCGCAGGAGACCCUGACCGAGAGACCGCAGCCUGGCGAUGGCAGGAACUUCCCAGAUGGCGAGGCGGCCUUCCUUGGUGCUCCAUGUGGAUCCACCCUGCCGGGCAUCCGAGAGCUGAGUCGAAGGCUGCGAAUUGCAGAGGGGAUGGAAGCGGGGUGCAGGGUCCGGGACUCGAGACCCGGGAUUUUUGAGUCAGCUUUGGGGACGGGGAGGUCCAGGCUGUGGCCCCUUAGGCCACACGGUGGGAGAGUUUCACUUUUGUUCACAGUGCUGAGGUGUGCAGGACAGAGCAGUCCCGGGGCGUGUCGUGUCACUUGUCCAUUGUGCCUUCUGUGUCUUUUGUGCCCCUCGUGUCGUACGUGCCUUGCCUUAUCCUUUCUGGGGGCUUACCAGAAGCCCUGGCGCCUCUCUUAGCAUCUCCGAUCUCUGGGCUCCUUGGCUCAGCAGCUCUCAGAGGCCUUGGAAUCGCGUCUCUCUUGAAAAGCAUCCGAUCGGAUGUCUUUUAGAGGUCUUGUUCCGUGCUGUGUUGACAGCCGUGCGCCGCGAGGAUCCAUUGUUGCGGCUUAGGACUUGAAGAAACGCAAAGAUAGGUAGAGGAUUGUCGCCAUAAGAUUCUCGGGCAUCCAUCUUGGCAGUCUUGGAGUUAAUCAUUCCAUCAGCAUCUUCUUCCUCCCGGGUUCUGCGAGCUUCAUCAGCUCAUUCUCACCCGGCUCAUCUCGUUCCGCGUUCUCUCGGUCCUUGUGGCCAUUCUUGUGGCCCAGAGUUUUGUCUCCCCGUUGUGUCCCCUCGUCUGUUGUCUUGUGUGUCACGGGUGUCUGGGUGUAGUUGUCCCGGAGCUGCUCUGUCCUGCUGCCCAGCCUGGGUGUAGGUGUAAAAGGUCAAGUCCCAGGCCCCUGUAAUUUGAAAUUUGUGAUGUAGGGUGUAGUUGGAGUCUAGAGGGUGUUCCUAGAUGGACACAAGAUGUCUGGAGCUGUGAAGUUACUCUGCAGCACUUUGACUUUUGUCUCAGCUUUCUUUCAGAUACGGACAGAUGAAAUCGGUGGCAGAGCGCCCCAUCCAGGGUAAGGGGGUUCCCGCGAGAAGGUAAGUCAAUGUUUGUCUUUGCAGGGCAACUGGAACCGGUCACUGUGUUACAGGUCUCCUCUUUGUCUUUAUUUUUAGGAAGCAAAGCCGGCUAGCAGCAGUCAAGGCGAAGCGGGCAAGGCGGUCCAGUCACGUUUCGUCGAGACACCCUCGCCAACCGGCCGGCACAGCUGCUUCGCCUCUGCCGUGAGCCCUGCGGAAGUGUUACGGGACCGUGAGACGGAGCCUUUUCCACGUAAAGGGGCCGUGUGGGUGGCCUUCAGGAACGGGCCGAGGGGUUGCCGCACGCCCUGUGACGACGGCGUCUGGCUCCCGGUGUGGCCGAAGCGUGCGGCCUCAGGACGUGGCCGUGCGCAGGAGACCCUGACCGAGAGACCGCAGCCUGGCGAUGGCAGGAACUUCCCGGAUGGCGAGGCGGCCUUCCUUGGUGCUCCAUGUGGAUCCACCCUGCCGGGCAUCCGAGAGCUGAGUCGAAGGCUACGAAUUGCAGAGGGGAUGGCAGAGGGGUGCAGGGUCUGGGACUCGAGACCCGGGAUUUUUGAGUCAGCUUUGGGGACGGGGAGGUCCAGGCUGUGGCCCCUUAGGCCACACGGUGGGAGAGCUUCACUUUUGUUCACAGUGCUGAGGUGUGCAGGACAGAGCAGUCCCGGGGCGUGUCGUGUCACUUGUCCAUUGUGCCUUCUGUGUCUUUUGUGCCCCUCGUGUCGUACGUGCCUUGCCUUAUCCUUUCUGGGGGCUUACCAGAAGCCCUGGCGCCUCUCUUAGCAUCUCCGAUCUCUGGGCUCCUUGGCUCAGCAGCUCUCAGAGGCCUUGGAAUCACGUCUCUCUUUUAAAAGCAUCCGAUCGGAUGUCUUUUAGAGGUCUUGUUCCGUGCUGUGUCGACAGCCGUGCGCCGCGAGGAUCCAUUGUUGCGGCUUAGGUCUUGAAGAAACGCAAAGAUAGGUAGAGGAUUGUGGCCAUAAGAUUCUCGGGCAUCCAUCUUGGCAGUCUUGGAGUUUGUCAUUCCAUCAGCAUCUUCUUCCUCCCGGGUUCUGCGAGCUUCAUCAGCUCGCCUUCAUUCUCACCCGGCUCAUCUCGUUCCGCGUUCUCUCGGUCCUUGUGGCCGUUCUUGUGGCCCAGAAUUUUGUCUCCCCAUUGUGUCCCCUCGUCUGUUGUCUUGUGUGUCACGGGUGUCUGGGUGUGGUUGUCCCGGAGCUGCUCUGUCCUGCUGCCCAGCCUGGGUGUAGGUGUGAAGGGACAAGUCCCAGGCCCCUGUAAUUUGAAAUUUGUGAUGUAGGGUGUAGUUGGAGUCUAGAGGGUGUUCCUAGAUGGACACAAGAUGUCUGGAGCUGUGAAGUUACUCUGCAGCACUUUGACUUUUGUCUCAGCUUUCUUUCAGAUGCGGACGGGUGAAAUCGGUGGCAGAGCGCCCCAUCCAGGGUAAGGGGGUUCCCGCGAGAAGGAAGCAAAGCCGGCUAGCAGCAGUUAAGGCGAAGUGGGCAAGGCGGUCCAGUCGCGUUUCGUCGAGACACCCUCGCCAACCGGCCGGCACAGCUGUUUCGCCUCUGCCGUGAGCCCUGCGGAAGUGUUACGGGACCGUGAGACGGAGCCUUUUCCACGUAAAGGGGCCGUGUGGGUGGCCUUCAGGAACGGGCCGAGGGGUUGCCGUGCACCCUGCGACGAUGGCGUCCGGCUCCCGGUGUGGCCUCGGGACGUGGCUGUUCGCAGGAGACCCUGACCGAGAGACCGCAGCCUGGCGAUGGCAGGAACUUCCCGGAUGGCGAGGCGGCCUUCCUUGGUGCUCCAUGUGGAUCCACCCUGCCGGGCAUCCGAGAGCUGAGUCGAAGGCUGCGAAUUGCAGAGGGGAUGGAAGCGGGGUGCAGGGUCUGGGACUUGAGACCCGGGAUUUUUGAGUCAGCUUUGGGGACGGGGAGGUCCAGGCUGUGGCCCCUUAGGCCACACGGUGGGAGAGUUUCACUUUUGUUCACAGUGCUGAGGUGUGCAGGACAGAGCAGUCCCGGGGCGUGUCGUGUCACUUGUCCAUUGUGCCUUCUGUGUCUUUUGUGCCCCUCGUGUCGUACGUGCCUUGCCUUAUCCUUUCUGGGGGCUUACCAGAAGCCCUGGCGCCUCUCUUAGCAUCUCCGAUCUCUGGGCUCCUUGGCUCAGCAGCUCUCAGAGGCCUUGGAAUCGCGUCUCUCUUUUAAAAGCAUCCGAUCGGAUGUCUUUUAGAGGUCUUGUUCCGUGCUGUGUCGACAGCCGUGCGCCGCGAGGAUCCAUUGUUGCGGCUUAGGUCUUGAAGAAACGCAAAGAUAGGUAGAGGAUUGUGGCCAUAAGAUUCUCGGGCAUCCAUCUUGGCAGUCUUGGAGUUAAUCAUUCCAUCAGCAUCUUCUUCCUCCCGGGUUCUGCGAGCUUCAUCAGCUCAUUCUCACCCGGCUCAUCUCGUUCCGCGUUCUCUCGGUCCUUGCGGCCAUUCUUGUGGCCAAGAAUUUUGUCUCCCCAUUGUGUCCCCUCGUCUGUUGUCUUGUGUGUCACGGGUGUCUGGGUGUAGUUGUCCCGGAGCUGCUCUGUCCUGCUGCCCAGCCUGGGUGUAGGUGUGAAGGGACAAGUCCCAGGCCCCUGUUAUUUGAAAUUUGUGAUGUAGGGUGUAGUUGGAGUCUAGAGGGUGUUCCUAGAUGGACACAAGAUGUGUGGAGCUGUGAAGUUACUCUGCAGCACUUUGACUUUUGUCUCAGCUUUCUUUCAGAUGCGGACGGAUGAAAUCGGUGGCAGAGCGCCCCGUCCAGGGUAAGGGGGUUCCCGCGAGAAGGUAAGUCAAUGUUUGUCUUUGCGGGGCAACUGGAACCGGUCACUGUGUUACAGGUCUCCUCUUUGUCUUUAUUUUUAGGAAGCAAAGCCAGCUAGCAGCAGUCAAGGCGAAGCGGGCAAGGCGGUCCAGUCGCGUUUCGUCGAGACACCCUCGCCAACCGGCCGGCACAGCUGUUUCGCCUCUGCCGUGAGCCCUGCGGAAGCGUUACGGAACCGUGUGACGGAGCCUUUUCCAUGUAGAGGGGCCGUGUCGGUGGCCUUCAUGAACGGGCCAAGGGGUUGCCGCGCGCCCUGUGACGACGGCGUCCAGCUCCCGGUGUGGCCGAAGCGCACGGCCUCACGACGUGGCCGUUCGCAGGAGACCCUGACCAAGAGACGGCAGCCUGGCAAUGGCAGGAACUUCCCGGAUGGCGAGGCGGCCUUCCUUGGCGCUCCACGUGGAUCCUCCCCGCUGGGCAUCCAAGAGCUGAGUCGGAGGCUGCAAAUUGCAGAGGAGCUGAAAUCGGGGUGCCGGGUCGGGACUCUGGACCUGGGGUUAUGGAGUCAGCUUUGGGGACGGGGAGGUCCAGGCUGUGGCCCCUUAGGCCACGUGUAGGGAGAGCCUCACUUUUGUUCACAGUGCUGAGGUGUGCAGGACGGAGCAGCCCCAGGGCGUGUUGUAUCACUUGUCCAUUGUGCCUUCUGUGUCUUUUGUGCUUCUUGUGUUGUACGUGCCUUGCCUUAUCUCUUCUGGGGGCUUACCAGAAACCCCGGCGUCACUCCUCGCAUCUCUGAUCUCUGGGCUCCUCAGCCCGACACCAUCGAAGCUUUGCCUCAGGAGCUCUCAGAGGCCUUGGAAUCGCGUCUCUCUUUUAAAAGCAUCCGAUCGGAUGUCUUUUAGAGGUCUUGUUCCGUGCUGUGUCGACAGCCGUGCGCCGCGAGGAUCCAUUGUUGCGGCUUAGGUCUUGAAGAAACGCAGAGAUAGGUAGGGGGCUGUGGCCCUCAGAUUCUCGGGCAUCCGUCUUGGCAGUUGCUGGAGUUUGUCAUUCCAUCAGCAUCUUCUUCCUCCCGGGUUCUGCGAGCUUCAUCAGCUCAUUCUCACCCGGCUCAUCUCGUUCCGCGUUCUCUCGGUCCUUGUGGCCAUUCUUGUGGCCCAGAGUUUUGUCUCCCCGUUGUGUCCCCUCGUCUGUUGUCUUGUGUGUCACGGGUGUCUGGGUGUAGUUGUCCCGGAGCUGCUCUGUCCUGCUGCCCAGCCUGGGUGUAGGUGUAAAAGGCCAAGUCCCAGGCCCCUGUAAUUUGAAAUUUGUAAUGUAGGGUGAGUUGGAGUCUAGCGGGUGUUCCUAGAUGGACACAAGGUGGCUGGAGCUGUGAAGUUAUCCUUCAGCUCUUUGAGUUUUGUCUUAGCUUUCUAAGCAUUACAUUAUUCGCUGCCCGAUGUGGGGUUCAAAAGAGUAAGAAAAACCUAUACUAAUUACGUUAUAUUGGUACUUCCUGUGUGUUGGGAAAAAGGACUGUGGAAUAAAGGACUUUGUAAUGGUGUUCCUUAAGUUCAUGUCUCUCAGGGUGGAGGCCUUCAUGUAGUUCUAGUCUCUGAGCUUUUUUUGAGGUUUUAAUCUACUUGUCCAGAAAUGGAUUACUUGUAUUUAUUUCUAUUUUAUGGCUAUCUAUCUAUCUUCACUUGUUUAUUAUAGAUGUGUAUAUUUUCAUUUCUAUAUUAUUCAUUUAAAUGCCAUGCCUGUAAGUAAA
Molecule: long non-coding RNA, 7522 nt
Organism: Poecile atricapillus (Black-capped chickadee)
Lineage: Eukaryota; Metazoa; Chordata; Aves; Passeriformes; Paridae
Exons: 15
Source: RefSeq, a predicted model, not a curated record